GACGAACCGUGCGAACGUUGUUCGGAAUCACUGGGCUUAAAGGGCGCGUAGGCGGGCCGCCAAGUCUGGAGUGAAAGCCCACGGCUCAACCGUGGAAGCGCUUCGGGUACUGGUGGCCUCGAGGGGUGUAGGGCGUGCGGAACUUCCGGUGGAGCGGUGAAAUGCGUAGAUAUCGGAAGGAACACCGGUGGCGAAAGCGGCGCGCUGGACAGCCUACUGGACGCUGAGGCGCGAAAGCCAGGGGAGCAAAGCGGG
RNAcentral lists this ribosomal RNA (255 nucleotides) under uncultured bacterium. RNAcentral describes it as "partial 16S ribosomal RNA". It matches the Rfam family "Bacterial small subunit ribosomal RNA", at positions 524 to 777 of the family's 1533-position model. The record is from RNAcentral.